RNAcentral lists this ribosomal RNA (2200 nucleotides) under Verrucomicrobiota bacterium. Its description in RNAcentral is "bacterial LSU rRNA". It matches the Rfam family "Bacterial large subunit ribosomal RNA", at positions 850 to 2925 of the family's 2925-position model. Lineage: Bacteria; Pseudomonadati; Verrucomicrobiota. The record is from RNAcentral.
UGGUUCUCCCCGAAAUGCCUUUAGGGGCAGCCUCGGGCGUUCUCCAACGGAGGUAGAGCACUGAUUGGGCUAGGGGGCCUACAAGCUUACCGACCUCAGUCAAACUCCGAAUGCCGUCGGACCACAGCCCGGGAGUGAGGGCGCGGGGGCUAAGCUCCGUGUCCGAGAGGGAAACAACCCAGAUCGCCAGCUAAGGUCCCUAAGUUCGUGCUAAGUGGGUAAGGAUGUGAGAUCGCGAAGACAACCAGGAGGUUGGCUUAGAAGCAGCCACCCUUGAAAGAGUGCGUAAUAGCUCACUGGUCAAGUGGUCUUGCGCCGACGAUGUAACGGGGCUCAAGCACGACACCGAAGCUGCGGGAUCCGCCGUAUCACCCGGCCCUCGAGGGCAGCCUCGUGGGUCCAGGUGGGUGGAUCGGUAGGGGAGCGUUCCCACGCGGGUGAAGCGGCGGGGUAACCCAGCCGUGGAUGCGUGGGAAGUGAGAAUGCCGGCAUGAGUAGCGAAAGACGGGGGAGGAGCCCGUCCGCCGAAUGCCCAAGGGUUCCUGGGGAAGGUUCAUCCGCCCAGGGUUAGUCGGGACCUAAGCCGAGGCCGAGAGGCGUAGGCGAUGGACGACAGGUUGAUAUUCCUGUACCACCUUGACCGCGCCCAGGCCGGAUCCGAGGCACUAAGGGAACCCCUUCGGGGGCUACCGACCAACUCGGUAGUAGGCCAGCGAUGGGGGGACGCAGGAAGGUAGCUCGACCCAGGCGUUGGUUGACCUGGGGCAAGUGUGUAGGGAGGCUUCCCAGGCAAAUCCGGGAGGUCAUCAUCCUGAGACACGAUGCCGAGCCGUUCAGGCGAAGCGAGUGAUCCUCUACUGCCAAGAAAAACCUCUAGCCAGUGAUCAAGGUGCCCGUACCCCAAACCAACGCAGGUGGGCACGUAGAGAAUACGAAGGCGAUCGAGAGAACCCUGGUCAAGGAACUCGGCAAAUCGCGUCCGUAACUUCGGGAGAAGGACGACCGCGGUAGGGUGAAGGACUUCGCGUCCGGAGCUCGAAGCGGUGACACAGACCAGGCCCAAGCGACUGUUUACUAAAAACACAGGUCCGUGCGAAGUCGUAAGACGAUGUAUACGGACUGACGCCUGCCCGGUGCCGGAACGUUAAGGGGAGAGGUCAGUGGCUUCGGCCGCGAAGCUUUGAACCUAAGCGCCGGUAAACGGCGGCGGUAACUAUAACCGUCCUAAGGUAGCGAAAUUCCUUGUCAGGUAAGUUCUGACCUGCACGAAUGGCGUAACGACUUGGGCACUGUCUCGACCAGGGACUCGGCGAAAUUGCAAUACGAGUAAAGAUGCUCGUUACCCGCGGAAGGACGGAAAGACCCCGGGACCUUUACUGCAGCUUGAUGUUGGGUUCUGGCAUGUGUUGCGUAGGAUAGGUGGGAGGCGUCGAAGCGGAGCUUUCGGGCUUCGUGGAGCCAACCUUGAAAUACCACCCUUCACUAGUUGGGACUCUAACCCAGGCCCGUGAUCCGGGUCGGGGACAGCGUCUGGUGGGCAGUUUAACUGGGGCGGUUGCCUCCUAAAAUGUAACGGAGGCGCCCAAAGGUUCCCUCAGCCUGGUUGGCAAUCAGGCGUCGAGUGCAAGGGCACAAGGGAGCUUGACUGCGAGAUCGACGGAUCGAGCAGGAGCGAAAGCUGGGCCUAGUGAUCCGACGGCUCCAUGUGGAAGGGCCGUCGCUCAACGGAUAAAAGGUACCCCGGGGAUAACAGGCUGAUCCUACCCAAGAGUCCAUAUCGACGGUAGGGUUUGGCACCUCGAUGUCGGCUCGUCUCAUCCUGGGGCUGGAGCAGGUCCCAAGGGUCGGGCUGUUCGCCCGUUAAAGAGGCACGCGAGCUGGGUUUAGAACGUCGUGAGACAGUUCGGUCCCUAUCCUCCGUGGGCGUAGGAGGCUUGACGGGAGCUGCCCCUAGUACGAGAGGACCGGGGCGGACGAACCUCUGGUGUGCCAGUUGUCGCGCCAGCGGCAUGGCUGGUUGGCUACGUUCGGAAGGGAUAAGCGCUGAAAGCAUCUAAGUGCGAAGCCCACCCGGAGAUGAGGCCUCCCACUGGGAGACCAGGUAAGGGCCCUGGAAGACCACCAGGUUGAUAGGCGGGACGUGGAAGCACGGCAACGUGUGGAGCUGACCCGUACUAAUAGCCCGAGGACUUGACUCUAU